This 402-nucleotide ribosomal RNA is filed under the name Verrucomicrobiota bacterium. Its description in RNAcentral is "Verrucomicrobia bacterium partial 16S ribosomal RNA". It matches the Rfam family "Bacterial small subunit ribosomal RNA", at positions 355 to 776 of the family's 1533-position model. Lineage: Bacteria; Pseudomonadati; Verrucomicrobiota. The record is from RNAcentral.
UGGGGAAUUUUGCACAAUGGGGGAAACCCUGAUGCAGCGACGCCGCGUGAUUUAGAAGGCCUUCGGGUUGUAAAAAUCUUUUGUAUGGGAAGAAAAUGACAGUACCAUACGAAUAAGGACCGGCUAAUUACGUGCCAGCAGCCGCGGUAAUACGUAAGGUCCGAGCGUUGUCCGGAAUCAUUGGGCGUAAAGGGUACGUAGGCGGAUAAGCAAGUUAGAAGUGAAGUCCUAUAGCUCAACUAUAGUAAGCGUUUAAAACUGCUCAUCUUGAGGUAUGGAAGGGAAAGUGGAAUUCCUAGUGUAGCGGUGAAAUGCGCAGAUAUUAGGAGGAAUACCGGUGGCGAAGGAGACUUUCUGGCCAUAUACUGACGCUGAGGUACGAAAGCGUGGGUAGCAAACAGG